Molecule: ribosomal RNA, 472 nt
Filed under: uncultured bacterium
Lineage: Bacteria
Description: bacterial SSU rRNA
Rfam family: Bacterial small subunit ribosomal RNA
Source: RNAcentral
UGGGGAAUUUUGGACAAUGGGGGAAACCCUGAUCCAGCCAUUCCGCGUGAGUGAAGAAGGCCUUCGGGUUGUAAAGCUCUUUCGGCAGGAACGAAACGGUUUGGGCUAAUACCCCAGACUACUGACGGUACCUGAAGAAGAAGCACCGGCUAACUACGUGCCAGCAGCCGCGGUAAUACGUAGGGUGCGAGCGUUAAUCGGAUUUACUGGGCGUAAAGCAUGCGCAGGCGGCGGUUCAAGUCAGGUGUGAAAUCCCCGAGCUUAACUUGGGAAUUGCGCUUGAAACUAGAUCGCUAGAGUACGGCAGAGGGGGGUAGAAUUCCACGUGUAGCAGUGAAAUGCGUAGAGAUGUGGAGGAACACCGAUGGCGAAGGCAGCCCCCUGGGCCUGUACUGACGCUCAUGCAUGAAAGCGUGGGGAGCAAACAGGAUUAGAUACCCCCGUAGUCCCUGAGCGGGCUGGCAAGGCGCAU